RNAcentral lists this long non-coding RNA (235 nucleotides) under Ictidomys tridecemlineatus (thirteen-lined ground squirrel). Its description in RNAcentral is "lncRNA (ENSSTOG00000034034.1)". The record is from RNAcentral. Lineage: Eukaryota; Metazoa; Chordata; Mammalia; Rodentia; Sciuridae.
GGGAGAUGUCAGGAUGUGAAAACAACCAACAUUAAGUAGAUAUUUUGUGCCAGCACGAUAGCAAGUGUCUCCAAUAUGCUUUUGUCUUCUGUUCAAAGAUGCUAAACUGGCCUUCAUCAAACAGCCACUAGCUCAACUUGCUUCUGCUGUCUGUGAACACAGAGAACGAGGACAUGAAUAAGGACCAUCCUGGAGGUGGGGUCAUUUAUAAACCUGACCCUCUGGGUGCAAAAUG